RNAcentral lists this ribosomal RNA (514 nucleotides) under uncultured bacterium. RNAcentral describes it as "bacterial SSU rRNA". It matches the Rfam family "Bacterial small subunit ribosomal RNA", at positions 49 to 609 of the family's 1533-position model. The record is from RNAcentral.
UAACACAUGCAAGUCGAACGGGCACUUCGGUGCUAGUGGCGGACGGGUGAGUAACGCGUGGGAACAUACCCUUUGGAUCGGAAUAGCCUCGGGAAACUGGGAGUAAUACCGGAUAAGCUCUUCGGAGGAAAGAUUUAUCGCCAAAGGAUUGGCCCGCGUUGGAUUAGGUAGUUGGUGGGGUAAUGGCCUACCAAGCCGACGAUCCAUAGCUGGUUUGAGAGGAUGAUCAGCCACACUGGGACUGAGACACGGCCCAGACUCCUACGGGAGGCAGCAGUGGGGAAUCUUAGACAAUGGGGGCAACCCUGAUCUAGCCAUGCCGCGUGAUCGAUGAAGGCCUUAGGGUUGUAAAGAUCUUUCAGUGGGGAAGAUAAUGACGGUACCCACAGAAGAAGCCCCGGCUAACUCCGUGCCAGCAGCCGCGGUAAUACGGAGGGGGCUAGCGUUAUUCGGAAUUACUGGGCGUAAAGCGCACGUAGGCGGACCGGAAAGUCAGAGGUGAAAUCCCUAAUAC